RNAcentral lists this long non-coding RNA (336 nucleotides) under Mytilus galloprovincialis (Mediterranean mussel). The record is from RNAcentral. Lineage: Eukaryota; Metazoa; Mollusca; Bivalvia; Mytilida; Mytilidae.
GGGCAAUAACUCCAUAAAAGUUGACUGAAUUUUCUGAAGUUUUAGGAAAUAGACCUUGAACUGCAGAUAAAUUCCGGUCAGAUUUGCUGGAACUGCUCUAGUUUUUGACAUGAAAGCCUCUAACUUUGAAAUUGACAAAAACUGACAUUUCAGGUAAAAUAACUCCUAAAUGAAAUGUCCAACUUUUUCUGAUAAUUCAACAGAGUAUAUACCUGGACCUCAUGAUGAUUUUUAUCCAUGAAUGAUUUUCUCUAACUGAUUUUUUUUUUUUUAUAUAUAUUUGCCAAAAGCAGUAUUUCCUCAUUGUUCUAUAGCAGUGGCCAUGUUUGGUGAUGG